This 197-nucleotide ribosomal RNA is filed under the name uncultured bacterium. RNAcentral's name for it is "partial 16S ribosomal RNA". It matches the Rfam family "Bacterial small subunit ribosomal RNA", at positions 328 to 539 of the family's 1533-position model. The record is from RNAcentral.
ACGCUCGACACCUACGGGAGGCAGCAGUGGGGAAUAUUGCACAAUGGGGGGAACCCUGAUGCAGCGACGCCGCGUGAGGGAAGAAGGUUUUCGGAUUGUAAACCUCUGUCUUUGGUGACGAUAAUGACGGUAGCCAAAGAGGAAGCUACGGCUAACUACGUGCCACAGCCGCGGUAAUCUGAGCGGGCUGGCAAGGC